AUUGAACGCUGGCGGCAUGCUUUACACAUGCAAGUCGAACGGCAGCGCGGGCUUCGGCCUGGCGGCGAGUGGCGAACGGGUGAGUAAUACAUCGGAACGUGCCCAGUAGUGGGGGAUAGCUCGGCGAAAGCCGGAUUAAUACCGCAUACGACCUGAGGGUGAAAGCGGGGGAUCUUCGGACCUCGCGCUAUUGGAGCGGCCGAUGGCAGAUUAGCUAGUUGGUGGGGUAAAGGCCUACCAAGGCGACGAUCUGUAGCUGGUCUGAGAGGACGACCAGCCACACUGGGACUGAGACACGGCCCAGACUCCUACGGGAGGCAGCAGUGGGGAAUUUUGGACAAUGGGCGGAAGCCUGAUCCAGCAAUGCCGCGUGUGUGAUGAAGGCCUUCGGGUUGUAAAGCACUUUUGGCGGGAACGAAAAGGACUGUGCCAAUACCACGGUUCGAUGACGGUACCCGCAGAAUAAGCACCGGCUAACUACGUG
RNAcentral lists this ribosomal RNA (484 nucleotides) under uncultured bacterium. RNAcentral's name for it is "partial 16S ribosomal RNA". It matches the Rfam family "Bacterial small subunit ribosomal RNA", at positions 29 to 507 of the family's 1533-position model. The record is from RNAcentral.